Molecule: long non-coding RNA, 544 nt
Organism: Quercus robur (English oak)
Lineage: Eukaryota; Viridiplantae; Streptophyta; Magnoliopsida; Fagales; Fagaceae
Exons: 3
Source: RefSeq, a predicted model, not a curated record
GUUGGGAUUUUGAAUAAAUUCCCUACAGGAAGGCCUUAGAGCAGCAAGUCCAAAGUCGAAGUGUCCAAUAUGCAGAGAGGUUGGAGUACAUACAAGAGCAGUGCACAUGUUAGAACUGGAUAUGCUCUUGAAAAGAAGGUGCAAAGACUAUUGGAAGGAGAGACUAACUGAAGAACGUGCUGACAUGUUGACUCAAUCUAAGUUGUAUUGGGAUACACAUGCCAGGAAUGCAAUUGGGUAUUGACUGUGUGGUUUAUCUGAUAAAACAAUAAAAUUCAAGUAGUAACUAAACAAUUGUGGUGGAUUUGGCUCUAGCUUUGGAGCCUGGCGGCAUCUUGAGACGGAUUUACUUGUGAGCAGCUCGUGAAAAUGCCUUGCUUUAACAUUUGAGGAAGACAUCUAUUUUGUGUGUAUCUGACAAGUAAUAAUGAUUUGGUGUUCGAUACAUGAUUUUGUGUGUAUUUGACAUGUAAUAAUGAUUUGGUGUAAUCUAAGAGAAAGACACCCCGUCUCCACCAUCAGGGGCGGAGCUAGGAUUUUUUGU